CAUUAUGAAGCUAAACAGCAUUAACCUUUUAAGUUAAAGAUUGGGAUUAAUCAACUCCCCAUAAUGA
RNAcentral lists this transfer RNA (67 nucleotides) under Euryzygomatomys spinosus (Guiara). RNAcentral describes it as "tRNA-Lys". The record is from RNAcentral. Lineage: Eukaryota; Metazoa; Chordata; Mammalia; Rodentia; Echimyidae.